This is a long non-coding RNA of Mauremys mutica (yellowpond turtle), 561 nucleotides long. RefSeq lists it as uncharacterized. NCBI's taxonomy places the organism in Eukaryota, Metazoa, Chordata, Testudines, Geoemydidae. The transcript has 3 exons. The record is from RefSeq and is a predicted model, not a curated record.
UAAUGACAGGAAAGAAAAAUGCAGAUCUGUUAAAAUGUAUUUUUAGUUCAAUGUUCAAGGUGUAGAGAGAUUCUGAGCAGGAGGAAGUCUGACUCUAUGCUGCAUUCGUCGUACAAAUGCAUUUGAGCCUCUUAAAAGUCAGCCCAAAAUUGUGACACUUGGAAUAAUAAUCGUGACUGCUGGAAACAUGACUUAGGCACCUGAACAACUUCACUCGCAUAGAUGGCACCAAUGACUGUGUCCAAUUCUACUAAAAAGCAGCCAAGAUCCCAGAAGCAUUUCAGACCACGGAAUGGAGAGGACACUGCCCAACCCAGGGGUGAAAAAAAAAUUAACCCGACUUUUAUUUAAACCAGUCAAUGCCAGAGAGCUUCAACUCUCCAUCUCAGGCCACCGCAUCUCGGCUAAACCAUUCACCUCAGGAAGGCGCAGGUAUAAACCAGGACAAAUAAUCCUCACACAAGUUAAUAGAACACAUGGUACCUGUUAUUCCAUAUACAACUUAUCCGGUAUAUCUUUUAGACAUCCAAAUAGAGGGAUAAACCAAAAAUAAUUUCCCCC